This 179-nucleotide small nuclear RNA is filed under the name Suricata suricatta (meerkat). RNAcentral's name for it is "U1 spliceosomal RNA (ENSSSUG00005004302.1)". It matches the Rfam family "U1 spliceosomal RNA". From Rfam's summary of the family: U1 is a small nuclear RNA (snRNA) component of the spliceosome (involved in pre-mRNA splicing). Its 5' end forms complementary base pairs with the 5' splice junction, thus defining the 5' donor site of an intron. Lineage: Eukaryota; Metazoa; Chordata; Mammalia; Carnivora; Herpestidae. The record is from Rfam by way of RNAcentral.
GUAUUUACCUGUCAGGGGAGAAACCAGGAUCACAAAGUGGUUUUCCCAGAGCAAGCCUUAUCCAUUUUACUCUGGAUCUGCCGAGCCCUGCGAUUUCUCCAAAUGUGGGGAACUCCACUGCAUAAUUUGUGGGUGGAGGGAGGACUGGGUUCGAAAGAAAAAAAGAAGAAGAUUCCAUA